AGAGAGACGGGAUCUGCAUGCACAGUAGGGUAAUGAGAGGAGAAGAGUUGAAGGCUGAAGACUUGGAAAUUCAAUUAUGUGGUCCAAGACAGUCUGGAAAAUUAAAUAUCAUCUGUCAGUGUGUUAAGCCAUAAUAUUGAGGAGGUACGGUUCUGUCAGCUGAGGCUCCUCAUGGUCCAACUUCAUCAGCUCCGUCGCAGCGUUGGCCAGGGUCACAGCCAGCCAAGCACAGGUACGGCAUUGCUGACAAAACAGAGAUUAUCAGUUGGCUGCUUGAGGAUGUUGGGAGAGGCUUGCGGAGGGUGGAGCUGCACCUGGCAGAGCUCCAGAAAGCUGAGUAAUCA
This is a long non-coding RNA of Scatophagus argus, 344 nucleotides long. RefSeq lists it as uncharacterized. NCBI's taxonomy places the organism in Eukaryota, Metazoa, Chordata, Actinopteri, Scatophagidae. The transcript has 3 exons. The record is from RefSeq and is a predicted model, not a curated record.